This 519-nucleotide long non-coding RNA is filed under the name Olea europaea subsp. europaea. The record is from RNAcentral. Lineage: Eukaryota; Viridiplantae; Streptophyta; Magnoliopsida; Lamiales; Oleaceae.
GGUCCCCAUAAAUCACAAUGAAUUUUCUCAAAAGUACUUGAAUGUUUCGAACAAGAAAAAGGUAACCGACUAAGCUUUUCUAAUUGACAACUAUCACAAAGAUGUUGUGAUUUUGUUGUCCCUACAACAUCAAUUAACCCUCUAUUUUUUAAAAUUUGCAAAGCUGAAGAUUGAGGGUGGCCAAGGAGUUGAUGCCAUACUUCAGCUGUGCUAGCCUUGAAGCGAUUAGAACAAUAAAGUUCUGGUGAAGUGGAUCGGACAUAGAGAUCACCCUUGUGUUUCCCUGUCAUCAUUGCUUGUCCUGUUUCCCGUUCCUUAACACAAAAAUCCACAUUAGAAAAUUCACAAUUAAUAGGAAACCGAGUGGUUAGCUGACUGACAGAGAGCAAAUUCUUUUUUAGAUCAGGAACUAAUAACACAUCAUUUAGAGGUAAGGCUGAUUUUUUUUUUUUUUUUUAAUAAAAGAGUCUUCAAUUGCAAUAAUUGGCAUGGAAGAUCCUUCUCCUAUUAACACUGAAU